This 489-nucleotide ribosomal RNA is filed under the name uncultured bacterium. RNAcentral describes it as "partial 16S ribosomal RNA". It matches the Rfam family "Bacterial small subunit ribosomal RNA", at positions 29 to 506 of the family's 1533-position model. The record is from RNAcentral.
AGUGAACGCUGGCGGUAGGCCUAACACAUGCAAGUCGAACGGCAGCACAGUAAGAGCUUGCUCUUACGGGUGGCGAGUGGCGGACGGGUGAGGAAUACAUCGGAAUCUACUUUUUCGUGGGGGAAAAGGAGGGAAACCUUACGCUAUUACCCCAUACGACCAACGGGGGAAGGAGGGGAUCCUUCGGCCCUUGGGGAAUGGAUGGGCCGAUUGUGGGUUUGCUAGUUGGCGGGGGAAAGGCCCACCCAGGGGACGAUCCGUAGCUGGUCUGAGAGGAUGAUCAGCACACUGGAACUGAGACACGGUCCAGACUCCUACGGGAGGCAGCAGUGGGGAAUAUUGGACAAUGGGCGCAAGCCUGAUCCAGCCAUACCGCGUGGGUGAAGAAGGCCUUCGGGUUGUAAAGCCCUUUUGUUGGGAAAGAAAAGCAGCAGGUUAAUACCCCGCUGUUCUGACGGUACCCAAAGAAUAAGCACCGGCUAACUUCGU